GUGACCAAAAAAACAAAACAAAACAAAAGAUUGGCACGAGACAGAGAACAUUAGCAUGGCCGCUGUGCACGGAUGACAUGCAAAUCUGUAAAGCUUUCAAUAUGUUG
Molecule: small nuclear RNA, 107 nt
Organism: Hippopotamus amphibius kiboko
Lineage: Eukaryota; Metazoa; Chordata; Mammalia; Artiodactyla; Hippopotamidae
Source: RefSeq, a predicted model, not a curated record